CCCUUAGAUGUCCUGGGCCGCACGCGCGCUACACUGACAUGUUCAACAAGCCUCCUAGUUCGACAGGAUUUGGGAAAUCUUUGAACGCAUGUCGUGAUAGGGAUAGAUCAUUGCAAUUAUUGAUCUUGAACGAGGAAUUCCUAGUAAACGCGAGUCAUCAGCUCGCAUUGAUUACGUCCCUGCCCUUUGUACACACCGCCCGUCGCACCUACCGAUUGAGUGAUCCGGUGAAUAAUUCGGACUGCAGCACUGCUUGGUCUCCAGGCUUUGCAGCGGAAAGUUUAGUGAACCUUAUCACUUAGAGGAAGGAGAAGUCGUAACA
RNAcentral lists this ribosomal RNA (322 nucleotides) under uncultured eukaryote. Its description in RNAcentral is "partial 18S ribosomal RNA". It matches the Rfam family "Eukaryotic small subunit ribosomal RNA", at positions 1470 to 1796 of the family's 1831-position model. The record is from RNAcentral.